GACGAACGCUGGCGGCGUGCCUAAUACAUGCAAGUCGAACGCUGAAGGAGGAGCUUGCUUCUCUGGAUGAGUUGCGAACGGGUGAGUAACGCGUAGGUAACCUGCCUGGUAGCGGGGGAUAACUAUUGGAAACGAUAGCUAAUACCGCAUAAUAGUAGAUGUUGCAUGACAUUUGCCUAAAAGGUGCAAUUGCAUCACUACCAGAUGGACCUGCGUUGUAUUAGCUAGUUGGUGGGGUAACGGCUCACCAAGGCGACGAUACAUAGCCGACCUGAGAGGGGGAUCGGCCACACUGGGACGGAGACACGGCCCAGACUCCUACGGGAGGCAGCAGUAGGGAAUCUUCGGCAAUGGACGGAAGUCUGACCGAGCAACGCCGCGUGAGUGAAGAAGGGUUUCGGAUCGUAAAGCUCUGUUGUAAGAGAAGAACGAGUGUGAGAGUGGAAAGUUCACACUGUGACGGUAUCUUACCAGAAAGGGACGGCUAACUACGUG
Molecule: ribosomal RNA, 495 nt
Filed under: uncultured bacterium
Lineage: Bacteria
Description: partial 16S ribosomal RNA
Rfam family: Bacterial small subunit ribosomal RNA
Source: RNAcentral